Molecule: ribosomal RNA, 510 nt
Filed under: uncultured bacterium
Lineage: Bacteria
Description: partial 16S ribosomal RNA
Rfam family: Bacterial small subunit ribosomal RNA
Source: RNAcentral
GACGAACGCUGGCGGCGUGCUUAACACAUGCAAGUCGAACGAAGAGCGAUGGCAGCUUGCUUCUAUCAAUCUUAGUGGCGGACGGGUGAGUAACGCGUAAUCAACCUGCCCCUCAGAGGUGGACAACAGUUGCAAACGACUGCUACUACUGCAUACUACUUAAUCUUGGCGUCGGUGAUAGAUGAAAGGUGGCUGCGGCUUGUAACCUGUCACAGAAGCAUGGGGUUGGGGUAGAUUAGUUAGUUGGCGGGGUAAGGGAGCAUCAAGGCGAGGAUGAGUAGCAGGUCGGCGAGGAUGAGCGGCCACACUGGGACUGAGACACGGCCCAGACUGCUACGGGAGGCAGCAGUGGGGAUACUGCCGCAAUGGACGAGAGUCUGACGGAGCAACGCGGCGUGAGUAAUGAGCGCCUUCGGGUGGUAAAGCUCUGUUAAUCGGGUGGAAAGGCCUUCUUGCGAAUAGGGAGAAGGAUUGACGGUAACGGAAUAGAAAGCCACGGCUAACUACGUG